Molecule: ribosomal RNA, 465 nt
Filed under: uncultured bacterium
Lineage: Bacteria
Description: bacterial SSU rRNA
Rfam family: Bacterial small subunit ribosomal RNA
Source: RNAcentral
GGGCCCGCACAAGCAGCGGAGCAUGUGGUUUAAUUCGAAGCAACGCGAAGAACCUUACCAAGGCUUGACAUCCUAAGAAUCCUAAAGAGAUUUGGGAGUGCCCUUCGGGGAACUUAGAGACAGGUGGUGCAUGGUUGUCGUCAGCUCGUGUCGUGAGAUGUUGGGUUAAGUCCCGCAACGAGCGCAACCCCUAUUGUUAGUUGCUACCAUUAAGUUGAGCACUCUAGCGAGACUGCCGAGGUUAACUCGGAGGAAGGUGGGGAUGACGUCAAAUCAUCAUGCCCUUUAUGCCUUGGGCAACACACGUGCUACAAUGGCCGGUACAAAAAGUUGCAAACCCGCGAGGGGGAGCUAAUCUCAAAAACCGGUCCCAGUUCGGAUUGUAGGCUGCAACUCGCCUACAUGAAGCUGGAGUUGCUAGUAAUCGUGAAUCAGAAUGUCACGGUGAAUGCGUUCCCGGGCCUU